RNAcentral lists this long non-coding RNA (785 nucleotides) under Monodelphis domestica (gray short-tailed opossum). Its description in RNAcentral is "lncRNA (ENSMODG00000047104.1)". The record is from RNAcentral. Lineage: Eukaryota; Metazoa; Chordata; Mammalia; Didelphimorphia; Didelphidae.
UUAGAAUCUGGGAUUCCUUCCUUUUCUAACUCUAUGAUCUGUGCUUUGUGCCUGGGACCCGCAGAGGAAUUUAUCUCCUGAUGCAGAGACUUUGCCAUCAUACCCAAGUAUGUGAAGCCAGAUUUGAGCCUAGAUCUUCCUGACUCCAAGCUCAAAGUUCUAUCCAGUGCACUACCUGGCUUUUGGUUUGUUUAUCCAUGCCAGAACCCCAGCACCAGUGAGCUGUUGAAGGAGGGAAUUGCCCAGGAGAGCUUGGGGAGUAUUAGACACAGGAUGGAAGGAACAGCAUGAGAAAAGUCAGAGAGGAGGCUGAUUGCUUAGUUGAUGCAUUAUGGGGAUUGGGAAUUCACACAAUAGGGUGAGGCUGACUAUUGAGGACUUUAAGCUCCUUGGGGACUCACUGGAGAGCUUUAUCUUCAACAAAUCAAAAUUGUGGCUGACCCAAAGGGCAAUGGAGAUACACGUGGUGAUUGUAAAUAGACUUUAGCAUAUUGCUGGUGAUGACUUGCAUGAAGGAAAUGUAAAAAUACUGUCCAAAGGAUGCAUGAAUGAAAAAAGGAGGUUUACCAGUUGUGGAUCAUGAUCAAGGUUUGAUGAAUGGAGGAACAUCAUAAUGGAGAAGAAUCUACACAGUAACAGCAAUAAUGUACAGAUUAUCAAUUGGGAGAGAGAGUCUUAGGAACAGUGACCAACCCAAUGACCAACCACAAUUCCAAAGGAUUCUUGAUGAAACAUGCUACCCUCCUCCAAAUAAAGAGCUGACAGACUCAAAGGGCUGACUAAAG